UAUGACUUACUGGCUUGCUGGAUUAUUAUUAAUGUCAUCUCCGUUAGUUUCUAUUUCAUUGUUAUAGUCAAAAUCCAAACCCUCAAUGUCUGUUGAACUAUCCGACAAGUAACUUUCAUUUGAAAUACUUGUAUGAAAUUAUUCUGGAAGAGUUGAUUUUUUUUAAAUUUAAUAAAGUUGUUUGAAGUUAAUUGUUUGAAUUAUCAUAAAAAGUCGUUAGCUCGGUGAAGCCAAUAAUUCUUUUGCUGCUGCAUGAGUGCACGACAGAACUUUGAAUGAAAAAUAACAUAAUAUCUCCAAUCAACUAUUUAAUUUUAUUUGUAAUAUUAUAAUUUACAUGUCGUUUUCAAAUAUUUG
Non-coding RNA from Cinara cedri, 357 nucleotides. The record is from the annotation of a GenBank genome assembly. NCBI's taxonomy places the organism in Eukaryota, Metazoa, Arthropoda, Insecta, Hemiptera, Aphididae.